GGAAGGAUCAUUACAGAGUUCAUGCCCGAAAGGGUAGACCUCCCACCCUUGUGUAUUAUUACUUUGUUGCUUUGGCGAGCUGCCUUUGGGCCUUGUAUGCUCGCCAGAGACUAAUCAAACUCUUUUUAUUAAUGUCGUCUGAGUACUAUAUAAUAGUUAAAACUUUCAACAACGGAUCUCUUGGUUCUGGCAUCGAUGAAGAACGCAGCGAAAUGCGAUAAGUAAUGUGAAUUGCAGAAUUCAGUGAAUCAUCGAAUCUUUGAACGCACAUUGCGCCCCUUGGUAUUCCGGGGGGCAUGCCUGUUCGAGCGUCAUUUCAACCCUCAAGCUCAGCUUGGUAUUGAGUCCAUGUCAGUAAUGGCUGUCUCUAAAAUCAGUGGCGGCGCCGCUGGGUCCUGAACGUAGUAAUAUCUCUCGUUACAGGUUCUCGGUGUGCUUCUGCCAAAACCCAAUUCUUUUUAUGGUUGACCUCGGAUCAGGUAGGGAUACCCGCUGAACUUAAGCAUAUCAAUAAGCGGAGGAAAAGAAACCAACAGGGAUUACCUCAGUAACGGCGAGUGAAGCGGUAAAAGCUCAAAUUUGAAAUCUGGCUCUUUUAGAGUCCGAGUUGUAAUUUGUAGAAGAUGCUUCGGGUGUGGUUCCGGUCUAAGUUCUUUGGAACAGGACGUCAUAGAGGGUGAGAACCCCGUAUGUGACUGGAUACCUAUGCUCAUGUGAAGCUCUUUCGACGAGUCGAGUUGUUUGGGAAUGCAGCUCAAAAUGGGUGGUAUAUUUCAUCUAAAGCUAAAUAUUGGCCAGAGACCGAUAGCGCACAAGUAGAGUGAUCGAAAGAUGAAAAGCACUUUGGAAAGAGAGUUAAACAGUACGUGAAAUUGUUGAAAGGGAAGCGCUUGCAAUCAGACUUGCACUUGGUGUUCAUCAGGGGUUCUUCCCCUGUGUACUUCAUCAAGUUCAGGCCAGCAUCAGUUUGAGUGGUUAGAUAAAGGCUUAGAGAACGUGGCCCUCUUCGGGGGGUGUUAUAGCUCUAGGUGCAAUGUAGCCUACUUGGACUGAGGACCGCGCUUCGGCUAGGAUGCUGGCGUAAUGGUUGUAAGCGACCCGUCUUGAAACACGGACCAAGGAGUGUACCUAAUAUGCGAGUGUUUGGGUGUUAAACCCAUACGCGUAAUGAAAGUGAACGGAGGUGAGAACCCUUAAGGGUGCAUCAUCGACCGAUCCUGAUGUCUUCGGAUGGAUUUGAGUAAGAGCAUAUUGGGUGCGACCCGAAAGAUGGUGAUCUUUACGUGAAUAGGGUGAAGCCAGAGGAAACUCUGGUGGAGGCUCGCAGCGGUUCUGACGUGCAAAUCGAUCGUCAAAUUUGCGUAAAGGGGCGAAAGACUAAUCGAACCAUCUAGUAGCUGGUUCCUGC
RNAcentral lists this unclassified non-coding RNA (1408 nucleotides) under uncultured fungus. RNAcentral's name for it is "sequence contains 18S rRNA gene, ITS1, 5.8S rRNA gene, ITS2, 28S rRNA gene". The stretch from base 466 to 1408 matches the Rfam family "Eukaryotic large subunit ribosomal RNA", at positions 1 to 961 of the family's 3401-position model. Lineage: Eukaryota; Fungi. The record is from RNAcentral.